RNAcentral lists this ribosomal RNA (497 nucleotides) under uncultured bacterium. Its description in RNAcentral is "partial 16S ribosomal RNA". It matches the Rfam family "Bacterial small subunit ribosomal RNA", at positions 28 to 507 of the family's 1533-position model. The record is from RNAcentral.
GAUGAACGCUGGCGGCGUGCCUAAUACAUGCAAGUCGAGCGAACAGACGAGGAGCUUGCUCCUCUGACGUUAGCGGCGGACGGGUGAGUAACACGUGGAUAACCUACCUAUAAGACUGGGAUAACUUCGGGAAACCGGAGCUAAUACCGGAUAAUAUAUUGAACCGCAUGGUUAAAUAGUGAAAGACGGUUUUGCUGUCACUUAUAGAUGGAUCCGCGCCGCAUUAGCUAGUUGGUAAGGUAACGGCUUACCAAGGCAACGAUGCGUAGCCGACCUGAGAGGGUGAUCGGCCACACUAGAACUGAGACACGGUCCAGACUCCUACGGGAGGCAGCAGUAGGGAAUCUUCCGCAAUGGGCGAAAGCCUGAAGGAGCAACGCCGCGUGAGUGAUGAAGGUCUUCGGAUCGUAAAACUCUGUUAUUAGGGAAGAACAAAUGUGUAAGUAACUAUGCACGUCUUGACGGUACCUAAUCAGAAAGCCACGGCUAACUACGUG